Molecule: ribosomal RNA, 433 nt
Filed under: uncultured bacterium
Lineage: Bacteria
Description: partial 16S ribosomal RNA
Rfam family: Bacterial small subunit ribosomal RNA
Source: RNAcentral
AACGAACGCUGGCGGCAUGCCUAACACAUGCAAGUCGAACGAGACCUUCGGGUCUAGUGGCGCACGGGUGCGUAACGCGUGGUAACCUGCCCUUAGGUUCGGAAUAACUCCCCGAAAGGGGUGCUAAUACCGGUUAAUGUCUUCGUACCAAGUAUGUAUCGCCUUUGGUUGGGCCCGCGUUGGAUUAGCUAGUUGGUAGGGUAAAAGCCUACCAAGGCGCCGAUCCAUAGCUGGUCUGAGAGGAUGAUCAGCCACACUGGGACUGAGACACGGACCGGACUCUUACGGGAGGAAGCAGGGGGGAAUAUGGGACAACGGGCGAAAGCCGGAGCCAGCAAUGCCGCGUGAGUGAUGAAGGACUUAGGGUUGGAAAGCUCUUUUAAAAGGGAUGAUAAUGACAGUACCGGGAGAAUAAGCGCCGGCUAACUCCGUG